GUCGUUGGACAUACCACCCUGAACGCACCCGAUCUCGUCUGAUCUUGGAAGUGAAACGGAGUCGGGCCUGGUUAGUCUUUGGAUAGGGGAAAUCUAGACAUGCCACUGAGA
This is a ribosomal RNA of Macaca nemestrina (pig-tailed macaque), 111 nucleotides long. NCBI's taxonomy places the organism in Eukaryota, Metazoa, Chordata, Mammalia, Primates, Cercopithecidae. The record is from Ensembl.